RNAcentral lists this ribosomal RNA (389 nucleotides) under Chrysochromulina sp. RNAcentral describes it as "partial small subunit ribosomal RNA". It matches the Rfam family "Eukaryotic small subunit ribosomal RNA", at positions 582 to 975 of the family's 1831-position model. Lineage: Eukaryota; Haptophyta; Prymnesiales; Chrysochromulinaceae. The record is from RNAcentral.
AUUCCAGCUCCAAUAGCGUAUAUUAAAGUUGUUGCAGUUAGAACGCUCGUAGUCGGAUUUCGGGGCGGGCCGACCGGUCUGCCGAUGGGUACGCACUGGUCGGCGCGUCCUUCCUUCCGGAGACCGUGCCUACUCUUAACUGAGCGGGGGCGGGAGACGGAUCGUUUACUUUGAAAAAAUCAGAGUGUUUCAAGCAGGCAGCUCGCUCUUGCAUGGAUUAGCAUGGGAUAAUGAAAUAGGACUUUGGUGCUAUUUUGUUGGUUUCGAACACCGAAGUAAUGAUUAAAAGGGACAGUCAGGGGCACUCGUAUUCCGCCGAGAGAGGUGAAAUUCUCAGACCAGCGGAAGACGAACUACUGCGAAAGCAUUUGCCAGGGAUGUUUUCAUUG